AUUCAAUCGGCCAGGGGGACACUUUAGAAAAUGGCAAAAAUCGAAAUUUUCUAACACUUUUGUAAGGGGAAGAAAAUUUAUAAGUAUCGAUUUAAUCAAAAUUCAACCGGCCAGGGGGACACUUUAGAAAAAGGGCUUUCACAAAAUUUUCCGACAACUUAGUAGUCGACGGAGAAUUUAUCAGUUAUCUGUUGAAGUGCAAAGUUAUAUUUAUAAUCUUCAAGAAGUUAUAUCAUUUCAAAGAAAUUCAACAAUUUAAAUAUCGUUACAGAUUGCUUCCAAUUUUAUGUCAGAAUAAUGUUAAUGGAGCGACCCGUAUCGGUUCCGCUCCUUAGGUAAGGAAAGAAAAUAGAAAUUAGGGAGCGACCCUUCAGAUAGGUACCGCUCGACAGAACAAGGUUCAGGAAGGACAAUGUUGUUGGCGUCACUUCAAAGAGUACCUAGCCCUUAAUGGUCUAAAAGGUUUUAGUUUUAGGAAAAAAAACGUUGGGCGUCACUUCAAAGAGUACCUAGCCCUCAAUGGUCUAAAAGGUUUCGGUUAAGAAAGCGUUGGGCGUCACUUCAAAGAGUACCUAGCCCUCAAUGGUCUAAAAGGAUUCAGUUUUAGGAAAGAAAGAGUUUGGCGUCACUUCAAAGAGUACCUAGCCCUUAAUGGUCUAAAAGGUUUCGGU
Molecule: long non-coding RNA, 671 nt
Organism: Solenopsis invicta (red fire ant)
Lineage: Eukaryota; Metazoa; Arthropoda; Insecta; Hymenoptera; Formicidae
Exons: 2
Source: RefSeq, a predicted model, not a curated record